RNAcentral lists this small RNA (272 nucleotides) under Mandrillus leucophaeus (drill). RNAcentral describes it as "Metazoan signal recognition particle RNA (ENSMLEG00000010635.1)". Lineage: Eukaryota; Metazoa; Chordata; Mammalia; Primates; Cercopithecidae. The record is from RNAcentral.
GCCGGGCAUGAUGGCUCAUGCCUGUAAUCCUAGCACUUUGGGAAGCUGAGGUGGGUGGAUCACCUGAGGCCAGGAGUUCGAGAUCAGCCUGGCCAACAUGGUCUCUACUAAAAAUACAAAAAUUAGCUGGGCUUGGUGGCAGACGCCAGUAAUCCCAGCUACUAAGGAGGCUGAGGCAGGAGAAUUGCUCGAACCCAGGAGGUGGAAGUUGCAGUGAGCCGAGAUCAUGACACAGCACUCCAGCCUGGGCAACAGAGUGAGACUCUGUCUCA